Molecule: long non-coding RNA, 3794 nt
Filed under: Nicotiana benthamiana
Lineage: Eukaryota; Viridiplantae; Streptophyta; Magnoliopsida; Solanales; Solanaceae
Description: long non-coding RNA (NBEN_LNC024806)
Source: RNAcentral
AUUUCUCAUCGUCUGUGGAGAUUUCAUAGCAGAAUCGCGUAAUUCUUCCCGGGGCAAAAAGGAAAGAAACGCCAAAGAACAACCCAUCUCAAAUAAGCUGAAGCGAUACAUUGGACAAAGGGAACUUGAAGAUCUCGAGUCGAGAUCCAACUCUUCUAUCACACCUCUCUGAAAUAGUACAAGCAAGAAGAAGAAGUAGUCUCUUCCCUCCCCCGGAUCUCUGUAGGGCACCUUCGCAUCCCUGAUGCGAGAUUUGGCCGUAAAUCGGUACGAAAAUAUCUCGAAUCGAGAGUCACCUCAAGCCUACAUACCCCGAUCAGGAAGAGCACGCGCGAGCUGCUCAAGAUCUCGAAUCUAAACCGAGCUUCAGCUCUCAAACACCGACGUCACAAGAUUCAGGCUAUGCGCCUUCAACAAAGGUUCAACUACGGUUGAAUAACAACUCAGGCUACGUGCCUUCACCAAAAAGUUCAACCACAAGUUGAACUAGGACCUGGGUUAUGCGUCUUCAGCAAAAAAUUCAACUAUGAGUUGAAUAAGUACUCAGGCUAUGCGCCUUCAACAAAGGUUCAACUACGGUUGAACAGCAACUCAGGCUACGCGCCUUCACCAAAAAGUUCAACCAUAAGUUGAACUGGGACUCAGGCUAUGCGCCUUCAGAAAAAAAUUCAACUAUGAGUUGAACAAGUACUCAGGCUAUGCGCCUUCACCAACAAAAAUCACAAAAUUCAACUUCGGUUGAACAGUAACUCAUGCUACGUGCCUUCACCAAAAAGUUCAACUACAAGUUGAACUGGGACUCAGGCUAUGCNNNNNNNNNNNNNNNNNNNNNNNNNNNNNNNNNNNNNNNNNNNNNNNNNNNNNNNNNNNNNNNNNNNNNNNNNNNNNNNNNNNNNNNNNNNNNNNNNNNNNNNNNNNNNNNNNNACAAAGGUUCAACUACGGUUGAACAGCAACUCAGGCUACGUGCCUUCACCAAAAAGUUCAACCACAAGUUGAGCUGGGACUCAAGCUAUGUGCCUUCAGCAAAAAUUCAACUAUGAGUUGAACAAGUACUCAGGUGCCUUCACCAAAAAUUCAACUACAAAUUGAACUGGGACUCAAGCAAUGCGCCUUCGCCGACAAAGGUUCAACUAUGCGCCUUCAACAAAGGUUCAACUACGGUUGAACAGCAACUCAGGCUAUGUGCCUUCACCAAAAAGUUCAACCACAAGUUAAACUGAGACUCAGGCUAUGCGCCUUCAGCAAAAAGUUCAACUAUGAAUUGAACAAGUACUCAGGCUAUGCACCUUCGACAAAAGUUCAAUUACCGUUGAACAACAACUCAGACUACGUGCCUUCACCAAAAAAUUCAACUACAAAUUGAACUGGGACUCAAGCAAUGCGCCUUCGCCGACAAAAUUUUUUUUAGAAGGUUCAACUACGGUUGAACAGCAACUCAGGCUACGUGCCUUCACCAAAAAGUUCAAUUACAAGUUGAACUGGGACUGAGGCUAUGCGCCUUUGCCAACAAUUUUUUUUUACAAAGGUUCAACUACGGUUGAACAGCAACUUGGGCUACGUGCGUUCGCCAAAAGUUCAACAAGUUGAACUGAGACUCAUGCCAUAUGCCUUCACCAUCGCAAACCUAAUCUCGCUAAAAAGUCGAACGCCUUCGUCCUCAAAACUAAAGAGCAACGGACGGAGAAACAAGCUAAUCUCCAUCGCCAUUCAAGUAAGUAUGUCCAAGUUGAGCUAAAAUUCGGGCCACGUAAAGUUCGACCCCGGCCUAAAUACAAGGCCGUGUUUCUUACCAUCACGGCCAGUAUUCAACCACGCCUGAACUGGGACUAAGGUUAAGUGCCACAAUCGCCAAAUAAUGGCCACAACUUGUUUACACCAAGUAAAACAAAGCGAUAAACAAAAAGCGCUUAAUCAUGGCAAAGUCCAUCACCACUAAACAACCAACCUAGUUUCCGACUAAGGCAAGCGAGCGAUUCGACGACGGUCUAAAUCGCCUAACUAGCCAAGGCCACCAUCAUUAUCAUGGCCAAGACCACCGGCACUAUUACGACCAAAACACACAAGGGACUUAACACGCCUACCAGAGUCUCACUCUAAGGCAGAUCAUCCUUUGAACACAUGCAUAAGAAAAUGAUUGUAAAAAUAACAAGGGAAAACUCGGAAUAACACAACACCAGCAGUGGGAAAAGUAAGCCAUAUAUGAAUAUAUUUACAAUUUUGUGCAGGCAACGCCCGCUUACAGUCGGCCAAGGCCGCACAGUAAGAAAAAUCUCUACAAAAAAAGAGGAAGAAUCUAAAAAUAUCCAAGCUCCCAAUGGCGAACAAAAUAAAAAUACAUCAAAAUUCUCACUCGGCGCUUCCUACGCCACCAUCAGCGCCAUCAUCGACCCCUGGCAAAGCUGGAUCGAAGCCGCAGUCGGUACGGGCCUCACGAGCCUUUUAAUGGGCCUCACGAGCCUUUUGACGGCCCUCUUCAUAAGAAGCUUCAGGCACAAUGCCGGCCUCCCACAACCUCUUGUACAUCAAGCCAAGCCUCGGCAAACGUCCAAAAGUCACGAGCCCGGCCGAAAGAGGCAGCCUGAUCCCUUAAGCGCUGAGUCUCGGCCUCUAGGGCCGUAAUCCGAUCCGUCGCAAUCUGGACGUCCCCUUUAUAAACGCCAAUGCGGUCCCCCAGCGCUCCUUCCCUUAAGGCCGCAACAGCCCUCUCCAGCUCCCGUGUCCGCUCACGAACGCUGUCCGCCGACUCCAUGCUGACUAUGCAUUGGAGUGUGUGGCCCAUGUUGGACACCACUGGUUCUGACAAUGCACUUUUCUAAAACUGGUGUGAGGAAUAAAUGGGAAACAAAAUGAUUGAUCGUCCAGAAAAAGAAAUGAUUGAGCGUGAGGUGGAAAAGUUUUAGAAGAAUCAGAAGAUUAUGAAAAUUUACACAAAAAAGUUGCACAAGACAUACAGUGUAUCUGUUAGAAUUGACUUCACGAUAAUUAAUUCGGCUUAAAGUUUAUUUAUGACUAAUAAAUGGAAUUUAAGGAUUAUCCGAUUUAUUAGUGUAUCGGUCAAAAUUUGAUUCCACGAUAAUUAAUCCGAUCUUAAGUUUAUUUGCGACCAAUAAAUGGUACGACCAUUUAUUAAUAAUGGAAUCUAAGGAUUACUUGAUUUGGCCAGUGAGGACACGGCCUACCCGCUCCUACAAAAGCGUUCCCUCAAUGUGGUCGCAGCUACUUAGUGUCAGCUCAUCGCCAGCUCACCCAGCUCACAGCUAUAAAUAUUAAGUAAAAGCACCCUAGAAAGGGGGAUGCUUCUUCUUCUUUUUCACUACUCCUCCCAAGAAAAGGGAAAGAGAUAACAGAACUUCUACGAGGGGCAUAAAGGAUAUCAUUGUAAGGCUCUGAACCUCUCUAUGGAGAGGCAGACCAAAUUGAUCUCAUUAAUAAAAAUCCUCUACAUAUUUCUCCUUACUUCUAGUGUUAGUUUCUUUCUCAUGUCUUUCAUUUGUUCUUUUAAUUUAUUACAAUAUGCUAUGAUUGACCAUCGUUUAUUGUGAUUGUUUUACGCUUACAAAGUAUACGAUAAUUUUGAGCUAAAUAAUUUGCAAUUUUUUUUUGUUGCUUUUAUCGUCUACACUUUGUACAGAAAUUGAUACCCCCUUUCACACAAAGGUUCAGUAAGAUGUUGUUGAGCUAACCCUAGUUGAAAUAUUUCAUCCGUUUCACAAUAAACGGACAUAUUUUAGGGUGAAAUAAAAAAUUUAAAGUUAUUUUUUUUAAAUUGAACUUCUUUUUUAAACGAAUGGAG